AGCGAAACCACAGCCAAGG
This 19-nucleotide non-coding RNA is filed under the name Arabidopsis thaliana (thale cress). RNAcentral also lists the same sequence under 2 other names. Lineage: Eukaryota; Viridiplantae; Streptophyta; Magnoliopsida; Brassicales; Brassicaceae. The record is from RNAcentral.